CCUACGGGGGGCAGCAGUGGGGAAUUUUCCGCAAUGGGCGAAAGCCUGACGGAGCAAUACCGCGUGAGGGAUGAAUGCCUGUGGGUUGUAAACCUCUUUUAUUAGGGAAGAAUUAUGACGGUACCUAAUGAAUAAGCAUCGGCUAACUCCGUGCCAGCAGCCGCGGUAAUACGGGGGAUGCAAGCGUUAUCCGGAAUUAUUGGGCGUAAAGAGUCUGUAGGUUGUUUAAUAAGUCUGCUGUUAAAUUUUAGAGCUCAACUCUAAGCCAGCAGUAGAAACUAUCGAACUAGAGUAUGGUAGGGGCGAAGGGAAUUCCCAGUGUAGCGGUGAAAUGCGUAGAUAUUGGGAAGAACACCAGAAGCGAAGGCGCUUUGCUGGGCCAUUACUGACACUCAGAGACGAAAGCUAGGGGAGCAAAUGGGAUUAGAUACCCCAGUAGUCCUAGCUGUAAACGAUGGAUACUAGAUGUUGCGCGUAUCGAUCCGUGCAGUAUCGUAGCUAACGCGUUAAGUAUCCCGCCUGGGAAGUAUGCUCGCAAGAGUGAAACUCAAAUGAAUUGACGG
This 563-nucleotide ribosomal RNA is filed under the name uncultured phototrophic eukaryote. Its description in RNAcentral is "bacterial SSU rRNA". It matches the Rfam family "Bacterial small subunit ribosomal RNA", at positions 338 to 916 of the family's 1533-position model. The record is from RNAcentral.